AACACGUGGGGAACCUGCCCCAUAGUCUGGGAUACCACUUGGAAACAGGUGCUAAUACCGGAUAAGAAAGCGGAUCGCAUGAUCAGCUUUUAAAAGGCGGCGUAAGCUGUCGCUAUGGGAUGGCCCCGCGGUGCACUAGCUAGUUGGUAAGGUAAAGGCUUACCAAGGCGAUGAUGCAUAGCCGAGUUGAGAGACUGAUCGGCCACAUUGGGACUGAGACACGGCCCAAACUCCUACGGGAGGCAGCAGGU
Molecule: ribosomal RNA, 251 nt
Filed under: uncultured Lactobacillus sp.
Lineage: Bacteria; Bacillati; Bacillota; Bacilli; Lactobacillales; Lactobacillaceae
Description: partial 16S ribosomal RNA
Rfam family: Bacterial small subunit ribosomal RNA
Source: RNAcentral